GCAGCAACGCCGCGUGGGGGAAGAAGGCCUUCGGGUUGUAAACCCCUUUCAGUUGGGACGAAGCUUCGAGGGUUAAUAGCUCUCUGGAGUGACGGUACCUUCAGAAGAAGCCCCGGCUAACUACGUGCCAGCAGCCGCGGUAAUACGUAGGGGGCUAGCGUUGUCCGGAAUCAUUGGGCGUAAAGCGCGUGUAGGCGGUCCGGUAAGUCCGCUGUGAAAGUCGGGGGCUCAACCCUCGGAUGCCGGUGGAUACUGUCGGGCUUGAGUACGGAAGAGGCGAGUGGAAUUCCUGGUGUAGCGGUGAAAUGCGCAGAUAUCAGGAGGAACACCAAUUGCGAAGGCAGCUCGCUGGGACGUUACUGACGCUGAGACGCGAAAGCGUGGGGAGCAAACAGGAUUAGAUACCCUGGUAGUCCACGCUGUAAACGAUGGGCACUAGGUGUGGGGGGUGUCGACUCCCUCCGUGCCGAAGCUAACGCAUUAAGUGCCCCGCCGGGGGAGUACGGCCGCAAGGCUAAAACUCAGAGGAAUUGACGGGGGCCCGCACAAGCAGCGGAGCAUGUGGUUUAAUUCGACGCACCGCGAAGAACCUUACCUGGGCUUGACAUGUUCCUGACCGUCCUGGAAAC
RNAcentral lists this ribosomal RNA (629 nucleotides) under Actinomycetes bacterium. Its description in RNAcentral is "bacterial SSU rRNA". It matches the Rfam family "Bacterial small subunit ribosomal RNA", at positions 388 to 1007 of the family's 1533-position model. Lineage: Bacteria; Bacillati; Actinomycetota; Actinomycetes. The record is from RNAcentral.